AGUGAACGCUGGCGGUAGGCCUAACACAUGCAAGUCGAACGGCAGCACAGUAAGAGCUUGCUCUUACGGGUGGCGAGUGGCGGACGGGUGAGGAAUACAUCGGAAUCUGCUUUUUCGUGGGGGAUAACGUAGGGAAACUUACGCUAAUACCGCAUACGACCUACGGGUGAAAGCAGGGGAUCUUCGGACCUUGCGCGAUUGAAUGAGCCGAUGUCGGAUUAGCUAGUUGGCGGGGUAAAGGCCCACCAAGGCGACGAUCCGUAGCUGGUCUGAGAGGAUGAUCAGCCACACUGGAACUGAGACACGGUCCAGACUCCUACGGGAGGCAGCAGUGGGGAAUAUUGGACAAUGGGCGCAAGCCUGAUCCAGCCAUACCGCGUGGAUGAAGAAGGCCUUCGGGUUGUAAAGCCCUUUUGUUGGGAAAGAAAAGCAGCAGGUUAAUACCCCGCUGUUCUGACGGUACCCAAAGAAUAAGCACCGGCUAACUUCGUG
Molecule: ribosomal RNA, 492 nt
Filed under: uncultured bacterium
Lineage: Bacteria
Description: partial 16S ribosomal RNA
Rfam family: Bacterial small subunit ribosomal RNA
Source: RNAcentral